This 366-nucleotide long non-coding RNA is filed under the name Vigna radiata. RNAcentral's name for it is "long non-coding RNA (VRAD_LNC017225)". Lineage: Eukaryota; Viridiplantae; Streptophyta; Magnoliopsida; Fabales; Fabaceae. The record is from RNAcentral.
GGAAAUUGGUUUUUCUGGUCAGCAAAGUUCCUUGAGUUAAGAGAGACAUUUGUGAAUUCCUUUUUCAAGAACAACUCUCUUUUCUUUUUCCCAGUCUUCCCUUGCAGUGAGCUUUUUCUUUUUCAUUUUGAAUUUUUCUUUUUCUUACUUUUUCUUUUCUUUUGUCUUUUUCUUGUUUUUUUCUUUUGAUUGCUCACUGCCUAAAGAGGUGGGUUGUUUCCUGGUAACCCUAAACUUGAACCUUUAUCAGUACCUCAUCAAAUGUUCUCAACUUAACUCAAGGUAAAGAUUUUUCAAAAAGGUUUUUCAAGACAUAUCAGACUCAAGGUUCAAAGGUUAGAGAAAAUUGUUCUCUUUUCAGUGGGC